This 1386-nucleotide ribosomal RNA is filed under the name Comamonadaceae bacterium PRE19G. RNAcentral describes it as "partial 16S ribosomal RNA". It matches the Rfam family "Bacterial small subunit ribosomal RNA". The record is from RNAcentral. Lineage: Bacteria; Pseudomonadati; Pseudomonadota; Betaproteobacteria; Burkholderiales; Comamonadaceae.
UCGAACGGUAACAGCCACUUCGGAUGCUGACGAGUGGCGAACGGGUGAGUAACGCAUCGGAACGUGUCCAGUAGUGGGGGAUAGCCCGGCGAAAGCCGGAUUAAUACCGCAUACAACCUACGGGUAAAAGGGGGGGAUCGCAAGACCUCUCGCUAUUGGAGCGGCCGAUGUCAGAUUAGGUAGUUGGUGGGGUAAAGGCCCACCAAGCCGACGAUCUGUAGCUGGUCUGAGAGGACGACCAGCCACACUGGGACUGAGACACGGCCCAGACUCCUACGGGAGGCAGCAGUGGGGAAUUUUGGACAAUGGGCGCAAGCCUGAUCCAGCCAUGCCGCGUGCGGGAAGAAGGCCUUCGGGUUGUAAACCGCUUUUGUCAGGGAAGAAAAGCGCAGUGCCAAUACCACUGCGUCAUGACGGUACCUGAAGAAUAAGCACCGGCUAACUACGUGCCAGCAGCCGCGGUAAUACGUAGGGUGCAAGCGUUAAUCGGAAUUACUGGGCGUAAAGCGUGCGCAGGCGGCUUUGCAAGACAGAUGUGAAAUCCCCGGGCUUAACCUGGGAACUGCAUUUGUGACUGCAAGGCUAGAGUACGGUAGAGGGGGAGUGGAAUUCCGCGUGUAGCAGUGAAAUGCGUAGAUAUGCGGAGGAACACCGAUNGGCGRNAGGCAGCUCCCUGGGACCUGUACUGACGCUCAUGCACGAAAGCGUGGGGAGCAAACAGGAUUUAGAUACCCUGGUAGUCCACGCCCUAAACGAUGUCAACUGGUUGUUGGGAGGGUUUCUUCUCAGUAACGUAGCUAACGCGUGAAGUUGACCGCCUGGGGGAGUACGGCCGCAAGGUUGAAACUCAAAGGAAUUGACGGGGACCCGCACAAGCGGUGGAUGAUGUGGUUUAAUUCGAUGCAACGCGAAAAACCUUACCUACCCUUGACAUGUAUGGAAGCUUCCAGAGAUGGGAGCGUGCUCGAAAGAGAGCCAUAACACAGGUGCUGCAUGGCCGUCGUCAGCUCGUGUCGUGAGAUGUUGGGUUAAGUCCCGCAACGAGCGCAACCCUUAUCAUCAGUUGCUACGCAAGGGCACUCUGAUGAGACUGCCGGUGAUAAACCGGAGGAAGGUGGGGAUGACGUCAGGUCCUCAUGGCCCUUAUGGGUAGGGCUACACACGUCAUACAAUGGCCGGUACAGAGGGUUGCCAACCCGCGAGGGGGAGCCAAUCCCAGAAAACCGGUCGUAGUCCGGAUCGCAGUCUGCAACUCGACUGCGUGAAGUCGGAAUCGCUAGUAAUCGCGGAUCAGCAUGUCGCGGUGAAUACGUUCCCGGGUCUUGUACACACCGCCCGUCACACCAUGGGAGCGGGUCUCGCCAGAAGCAGGUAGCCUAACCGCAA